RNAcentral lists this ribosomal RNA (498 nucleotides) under uncultured bacterium. RNAcentral's name for it is "partial 16S ribosomal RNA". It matches the Rfam family "Bacterial small subunit ribosomal RNA", at positions 28 to 507 of the family's 1533-position model. The record is from RNAcentral.
GACGAACGCUGGCGGCGUGCCUAAUACAUGCAAGUCGAACGAGAGCAACCGGUGCUUGCACUGGUCAAUCUAGUGGCGAACGGGUGAGUAACACGUGGGUAACCUGCCCAUCAGAGGGGGAUAACAUCCGGAAACGGAUGCUAAAACCGCAUAGGUCUUCGAACCGCAUGGUUUGAAGAGGAAAAGAGGCGCACGCUUCUGCUGAUGGAUGGACCCGCGGUGCAUUAGCUAGUUGGUGAGGUAACGGCUCACCAAGGCCGUGAUGCAUAGCCGACCUGAGAGGGUGAUCGGCCACAUUGGGACUGAGACACGGCCCAAACUCCUACGGGAGGCAGCAGUAGGGAAUCUUCCGCAAUGGACGCAAGUCUGACGGAGCAACGCCGCGUGAGUGAAGAAGGUUUUCGGAUCGUAAAACUCUGUUGUUAGAGAAGAACAAGUGCUAGAGUAACUGUUAGCGCCUUGACGGUAGCUAACCAGAAAGCCACGGCUAACUACGUG